CCGGAACCGGAAAUGCCUUCUUUCCGUAACGCGAGAACGCCGCUGGCCACGCCCCUUCCGGAAGGUGCGGUCCGGGCGGGAAAAGAGUUCCCGUCCAUGAGACUUCUGGGCUGUGUAAGCAUGUGCCGUGGAGCUGAAACCUGGAAGGACCCUUGUACCCUAAUUUGUUCAACUUGAGCUUUCAUAGGACCUGGACAGCCUUUUAGCAGCCCUAGAUAAUUGUAUAAACUGGUUUAACAACUUUAAAAA
Chinchilla lanigera (long-tailed chinchilla) is the source of this 249-nucleotide long non-coding RNA. RefSeq lists it as uncharacterized. The transcript has 2 exons. NCBI's taxonomy places the organism in Eukaryota, Metazoa, Chordata, Mammalia, Rodentia, Chinchillidae. The record is from RefSeq and is a predicted model, not a curated record.